UCAUGGGUCAGGUCUAGUCACAGUUGAUCAUCAUGAGUCAGGUCUAGUCACAGUUGAUCGUCAUGAGUCAGGUCAAGUUACAGUUCAUAAUCAUGAGUCUAGUCUAGUCACAGUUGAUCGUCAUGAGUCAAGUCAAGUCAUAACUGAUCUUCAUGAGUCCAGUCAAGUCUCAUCUGAUCUGCCAGAGCUUCGUCACAUCUCAGCCGUUCAUCCAGAGCCUCUUCACAUCUCAGCUGUUCGUCCAGAGUCACGUCACAUCACAUCUGAUCAUCCAGAAUCACAUCUCAUCACAGCUGAUCAUCCAGAGUAAUGUCACGUCCUAUCUGUUACACCCAGAUUAUAAAGGUCAGCCCUUCGGUAUCCCAGUCUGGUAUCCAGUGUGAGGGAUGCACCG
Molecule: long non-coding RNA, 394 nt
Organism: Sinocyclocheilus anshuiensis
Lineage: Eukaryota; Metazoa; Chordata; Actinopteri; Cypriniformes; Cyprinidae
Exons: 3
Source: RefSeq, a predicted model, not a curated record